CCCCAGGAGGACUCUGAGGACAGCGACACCGAUGUGGAGGAGGAGACCUCAAACCCCCCCCCGGCGCGACCCCCCCUCAAUUUCACCAGCCCUGCAGUGCCCUUCGCCCCUCUGGGACCCCCCCCGGUUCCGAGGCUCCCAGCAGUUGGAGGGGUCCUCCCCCCGGCCCCGGCGCCCCCCCCCAUCCCAGAGGAGGAGGAGGAGGAUGAAGACUACGACUCUUAGCGUGCCCCCCCCCCCCCUCCCACUUUUCAGAUUUUGGGGCAAUUUGGGCCAAUUUUGGGCAAUCUCACAUCGACUGAGCGUGAGGACAGCACUGAGACCCCCCCCUCCCCCUCACUGCCCCCAAAGCACAGUGUGUGUGUGUCGGGGGGGACGACUGUCCCUCUCUGUAUGCUUUGUCCCCUUUUUUUUUGGGGGGGGGGAGGGGAGAAGUGGGGGGCUGGCUUUUAGGGGCUGUUGCCGACUUUUAACCAUUCUGGGUUUUUUUUUUUAUGGGGCUCCAAUAAACGUUCCCAUUUCCA
This 524-nucleotide long non-coding RNA is filed under the name Gallus gallus (chicken). The record is from RNAcentral. Lineage: Eukaryota; Metazoa; Chordata; Aves; Galliformes; Phasianidae.